Molecule: ribosomal RNA, 366 nt
Filed under: uncultured eukaryote
Lineage: Eukaryota
Description: partial 18S ribosomal RNA
Rfam family: Eukaryotic small subunit ribosomal RNA
Source: RNAcentral
CAAUAGCGUAUAUUAAAGUUGUUGCAGUUAAAAAGCUCGUAGUUGAAUUUCUGGCGGGCGCGCCGGUCUUCCAAGUGUUGUACUGGGCGCAGUCCGCCAUCCUUGUGGAGAGGGCUCGCAUUGAGUUGCGUGUCGGAUCUGCAUCAUUUACUGUGAAAAAAUUAGAGUGUUUAAAGCAGGCUGUCGCUUGGAUACAUUAGCAUGGAAUAAUAAGAUAGGACUUCGGUCUAUUUUGUUGGUUGCGAACCGAGGUAAUGAUUAAUAGGGAUAGUUGGGGGUAUUCAUAUUUAAUUGUCAGAGGUGAAAUUCUUGGAUUUAUGAAAGAUGAACAACUGCGAAAGCAUUUACCAAGGAUGUUUNCAUUAA